This 275-nucleotide ribosomal RNA is filed under the name uncultured bacterium. RNAcentral's name for it is "partial 16S ribosomal RNA". It matches the Rfam family "Bacterial small subunit ribosomal RNA", at positions 338 to 610 of the family's 1533-position model. The record is from RNAcentral.
CCUACGGGUGGCUGCAGUAAGGAAUAUUGGGCAAUGGAGGCAACUCUGACCCAGCCAUGCCGCGUGAAGGAUGAAGGCCCUAUGGGUUGUAAACUUCUUUUGUACGGGAAUAAACCUGGUUACGUGUAAUCAGCUGAAUGUACCGUAAGAAUAAGCACCGGCUAACUCCGUGCCAGCAGCCGCGGUAAUACGGAGGGUGCAAGCGUUAUCCGGAUUUAUUGGGUUUAAAGGGAGCGUAGGCGGGAUUGUAAGUCAGUGGUGAAAGCCCGUAGCUC